RNAcentral lists this ribosomal RNA (466 nucleotides) under uncultured bacterium. RNAcentral's name for it is "partial 16S ribosomal RNA". It matches the Rfam family "Bacterial small subunit ribosomal RNA", at positions 28 to 507 of the family's 1533-position model. The record is from RNAcentral.
GACGAACGCUGGCGGCGUGCUUAACACAUGCAAGUCGAACGGAAAGGCCCAGCUUGCUGGGUACUCGAGUGGCGAACGGGUGAGUAACACGUGGGUGAUCUGCCCCUGACUUUGGGAUAAGCCUGGGAAACUGGGUCUAAUACCGGAUAUGACCUUACAUCGCAUGGUGUUUGGUGGAAAGCUUUUGCGGUUGGGGAUGGGCCCGCGGCCUAUCAGCUUGUUGGUGGGGUAAUGGCCUACCAAGGCGACGACGGGUAGCCGACCUGAGAGGGUGAUCGGCCGCACUGGGACUGAGACACGGCCCAGACUCCUACGGGAGGCAGCAGUGGGGAAUAUUGCACAAUGGGCGCAAGCCUGAUGCAGCGACGCCGCGUGAGGGAUGACGGCCUUCGGGUUGUAAACCUCUUUCACCAGGGACGAAGCGUGAGUGACGGUACCUGGAGAAGAAGCACCGGCCAACUACGUG